GUCCUGAUAGCUCAGCAGGAUAGAGCAAUGGCCUUCUAAGCCAUCGGUCGAGGGUUCGAAUCCCCCUCAGGACA
Transfer RNA from Brochothrix campestris FSL F6-1037, 74 nucleotides. It matches the Rfam family "tRNA". From Rfam's summary of the family: Transfer RNA (tRNA) molecules are approximately 80 nucleotides in length. Their secondary structure includes four short double-helical elements and three loops (D, anti-codon, and T loops). Lineage: Bacteria; Bacillati; Bacillota; Bacilli; Caryophanales; Listeriaceae. The record is from Rfam.